GACGAACGCUGGCGGCGUGCUUAACACAUGCAAGUCGAACGGAAAGGCGCUGCUUUUGUGGGGUGCUCGAGUGGCGAACGGGUGAGUAACACGUGAGUAACCUGCCCUUGACUUUGUGAUAACUUCAGGAAACUGGGGAGAAUACCGGAUAGGAGCUCUUGCUGCACGGUGGGGGUUGGAAAGUUACGGCGGUGGGGGCUGGACUCGCGGCUUAUCAGCUGGUUGGUGGGGUAGUGGCGUCCCAAGGCUUUGACGGGUAGCCGGCCUGAGAGGGGGACCGGCCACCUUGGGCCUGAGAUACGGCCCAGAAUCCUACGGGCGGCAGCAGUGGGGAAUAUUGCGCAAUGGGCGGAAGCCUGAUGCAGCAACGCCGCGUGCGGGAUGACGGCCUUCGGGUUGUAAACCGCUUUCGCCUGUGACGAAGCGUGAGUGACGGUAAUGGGUAAAGAAGCACCGGCUAACUACGUG
This 468-nucleotide ribosomal RNA is filed under the name uncultured bacterium. RNAcentral describes it as "partial 16S ribosomal RNA". It matches the Rfam family "Bacterial small subunit ribosomal RNA", at positions 28 to 507 of the family's 1533-position model. The record is from RNAcentral.